This 1865-nucleotide long non-coding RNA is filed under the name Mus musculus (house mouse). RNAcentral's name for it is "long non-coding RNA chr9:59914565-59916430". The record is from RNAcentral. Lineage: Eukaryota; Metazoa; Chordata; Mammalia; Rodentia; Muridae.
UGGGAGGAGUACCAUGGCUGGUUUCCUCUACUACACAGAAAGUCUGAAGAUAUAUGCAAGCAUACAGUGGCUAUAUUUAAAGUCUUUAUUAACUUGCAUUAUAGUUAUAGGUGUUGGGAUAAAACUUUUAAAUCAGCCUCAAAACCUACUACAGUAGGUAGCUCAUUCCUCAAUAUCAUACAAAGCAUGGACUUUAUGCAAGACUACCAUGCAAGGCUGAUAGAAAAACCUUAGAUAAAGAGCCUUACUUUCUACAAAAGAAGAUCCCUUAUAGUCUAAGAAUUCAGUUCUUUUCUGGUUUUGUGGCUCAAUGAAUGGCAACAGUGAUCUGUUAUCUUCUUUUACCUUCCUUGUUUGGGGUAAAUUUUCUGUUAAGAUUCUAAGAUUUGUGCUUUCAGCUAGUUAUGUCUAGUUCUAUCUAUAUGUUAGUUACACAGUUCUUCCUUUUGAUAAAUUCAACCCACAGAAAAACUGCCCACUACGUGUACUUUCUUUGAUCAUCAGAAAGUAUCAUAACUCCUCAUGUGGGAAGUGUCUUCCUACAUACUCAAAAUCCAUAUUUCAUCAUCAUUCUUCAACUAUGUAGGCUUAUAUUGAUUGACAAUAUUAAGUUUAUAUCAUGUGAUCUGUCUCGCUAUUCCUUCCGGUGUCCUUGUCAUUAUGAACUUUAGCAGACUCUCUUCACAGGCCAUAACCAUUUUAGCACUGUAGUAUGCUUUCUAGUCAUCUUCAUUGUUACCUACUUAAAUCUUAAGGAAAAAUUGAACUGUUAGGUAAACUUUCAAAAGGUAUUUUUACUUAGGAUCCUUAGCAUUAAAGCAUUUGGACCACGGUGUUUUUGUUAGUUUUAAAACCCAACUAUGGGAUAGCCUUGUAGCAUUCUAACCCAGAUCUGUUUGUCAGAGCUCUCUGUUUCUGAAAAAAAUUUUUUUCCACUGCAUAGUUCAGGCAGCUUUGACUUGAGUCCUCUUUCCUGAGUCUCCUGAGUACAGUAGGUACUAUCAAUAUAAGAUGGUCAAAAUCAAAACGGUGUACUAGAAAACAGCCCAGGCAGCUAAUGACUAUUGCAGCAAAUACUCUUGCUUUCUUUGUUGUUUGCCACCAAAAUUGGUAUCCUUGAGCACUGUGCUGUUUUGUUCUUGAGUCACAUAUGAAUGAAGUUGUCUAAUAUGGAUUGUUUUGUAUCUGAUGUUAACUUUAUGUGUGUAAGACUUAUCCAUAGCAUGCCUAGUUGUGGCUCAGCUUACUCUUGUUGCUGUCUCCUGCUCCAGAAUGUACAUGCCACAGUUUACUCAGUGUACUGUUUAUGGGCGGUAGGCUUUUGUUUGGGGGAAUAGGCAAUAUGUGUGCAUUUUUGUUAGGGUAUAUACAUACCUAAGGGUAGAAUUUCUGAGUCAUGGGAUAUAUCUUUAACAAUUUCCAAUCAGUGUACAGGAAUUUCUGAAUGAUUAGCCACCUCCCCAAUACUUACAUUGCCAUAUAUCAUAUAUAUACUGUUAGUCAUUAUAAAAUGCAUGACACUUCUUAAAUUUGGACUUCUGUUCAUUUAAUGUGCACAAAUAGGUUUAGCCUUCAGAUACUUUGUUUUCUGAACAUGCUAAACAUACUUUCUGUUUUUCUAUACUUGCUUGGGUGGUUUAAUUUUUUUUCCUAAUUCUUUCUGAACCCUGCAUAUAAUCUUUUGAUCAGUUAUUUCUGUUGCAAGCAUCUUGCACUCUGUAGUUGGUUUUUCUACUCUCUCAAAAGUGUCUUUCAAGCCAGGCAUGGUAGCAUAUACAAGCAGUCAUAGCACUAAGUAGAGGCUGAGGCUAAAUGAUCACCAGAUGAAGCCUGGCUUUCAAAAACUUUCAUUACAAGUUUCUGCC